UAUGUGACCUCAUUGUAAACAAAGCUAC
This 28-nucleotide non-coding RNA is filed under the name Mus musculus (house mouse). The record is from RNAcentral. Lineage: Eukaryota; Metazoa; Chordata; Mammalia; Rodentia; Muridae.